RNAcentral lists this ribosomal RNA (253 nucleotides) under uncultured bacterium. Its description in RNAcentral is "partial 16S ribosomal RNA". It matches the Rfam family "Bacterial small subunit ribosomal RNA", at positions 524 to 776 of the family's 1533-position model. The record is from RNAcentral.
UACGUAGGGGGCAAGCGUUGUCCGGAAUCAUUGGGCGUAAAGCGCGCGUAGGCGGCCCGGUAAGUCCGUUGUGAAAGUCAAAGGCUCAACCUUUGAAUGCCGACGGAUACUGCCGGGCUAGAGUCCGGAAGAGGCGAGUGGAAUUCCUGGUGUAGCGGUGGAAUGCGCAGAUAUCAGGAAGAACACCCGUGGCGAAGGCGGCUCUCUGGGACGGUACUGACGCUGAGACGCGAAAGCGUGGGGAGCAAACGGG